This 427-nucleotide ribosomal RNA is filed under the name uncultured bacterium. Its description in RNAcentral is "bacterial SSU rRNA". It matches the Rfam family "Bacterial small subunit ribosomal RNA", at positions 355 to 774 of the family's 1533-position model. The record is from RNAcentral.
UGGGGAAUUUUGGACAAUGGGGGCAACCCUGAUCCAGCCAUUCCGCGUGAGUGAAGAAGGCCUUCGGGUCGUAAAGCUCUUUCGGCAGGAACGAAACGGCGAGCUCUAACAUAGCUUGCUAAUGACGGUACCUGAAGAAGAAGCACCGGCUAACUACGUGCCAGCAGCCGCGGUAAUACGUAGGGUGCGAGCGUUAAUCGGAAUUACUGGGCGUAAAGCGUGCGCAGGCGGUUGUGUAAGACAGAUGUGAAAUCCCCGGGCUCAACCUGGGACCUGCACUUGUGACUGCAUAGCUAGAGUACGGCAGAGGGGGAUGGAAUUCCGCGUGUAGCAGUGAAAUGCGUAGAUAUGCGGAGGAACACCGAUGGCGAAGGCAAUUCCCUGGACCUGUACUGACGCUCAUGCACGAAAGCGUGGGGAGCAAACA